GUUGGGUAGGGGAGCGUUCUGUAAGCCUGCGAAGGUGGCCUGUGAGGGUUGCUGGAGGUAUCAGAAGUGCGAAUGCUGACAUAAGUAACGAUAAAGCGGGUGAAAAGCCCGCUCGCCGGAAGACCAAGGGUUCCUGUCCAACGUUAAUCGGGGCAGGGUGAGUCGACCCCUAAGGCGAGGCCGAAAGGCGUAGUCGAUGGGAAACAGGUUAAUAUUCCUGUACUUGGUGUUACUGCGAAGGGGGGACGGAGAAGGCUAUGUUGGCCGGGCGACGGUUGUCCCGGUUUAAGCGUGUAGGUGUGUGUUCCAGGUAAAUCCGGUUCACUUUAACACUGAGGCGUGAUGACGAGGCACUACGGUGCUGAAGCAACAAAUGCCCUGCUUCCAGGAAAAGCCUCUAAGCAUCAGGUAACA
RNAcentral lists this ribosomal RNA (414 nucleotides) under Salmonella enterica subsp. enterica serovar Anatum. RNAcentral describes it as "bacterial LSU rRNA". It matches the Rfam family "Bacterial large subunit ribosomal RNA", at positions 1223 to 1636 of the family's 2925-position model. Lineage: Bacteria; Pseudomonadati; Pseudomonadota; Gammaproteobacteria; Enterobacterales; Enterobacteriaceae. The record is from RNAcentral.